GCUGGGUGUGAUGGCACACACCUGUGGUCCCAUCUACUCAGGAGGCUGAGGUGGGAGGAUUGCUUGAGCCCAGGAGGUCGAGGUGGCAAUGAGCCAUGACUGCACCACUGCACUUCAGCCUGGGUGACACAGCAAGAUCCCAUCUCAA
RNAcentral lists this small RNA (148 nucleotides) under Pongo abelii (Sumatran orangutan). RNAcentral describes it as "Metazoan signal recognition particle RNA (ENSPPYG00000034409.1)". It matches the Rfam family "Metazoan signal recognition particle RNA". From Rfam's summary of the family: The signal recognition particle (SRP) is a universally conserved ribonucleoprotein. It is involved in the co-translational targeting of proteins to membranes. Lineage: Eukaryota; Metazoa; Chordata; Mammalia; Primates; Hominidae. The record is from Rfam by way of RNAcentral.